AUGGACAUAUAUAAAUUUCUAUUCCAUGCUUUCAACCUUAGAUCUUGUUUUUCCGAAGAGAUUUAAUAUGAUGAACUAGAUUGUUGCAGACACAAAGACAGUGAGGACUCAGUGAUCGUAGACGUAAUCUAUUAUCUUAGGUGUGAUCAUCGCUUAAGGUAUGGACCCCUUCCCACAUAUGUGUACGUAUUUAGAUUUCCACUACCUCGUAGUUGGAAAUUUAGAUUCGUUACUGUCUGCUUUUGUGAUCUUCAAGAUUUUGUGAUAUUAUAUUUAAAUAUAUAGUUAUAUUGUUUUAGCAAAUAUUGAUUAUGAUGCACUGAACUACUGAUUGUGUCGCACCGAAAGGUGACGCGCUGAAAAACUGAAUGUGAACUACUGAAUGUGAUUAUGUGACACGCUGAAUGUGAACUGACUACGCAUUGAACUACUGAAUGUGACACACUGAAGGUUGCAAGGAUUGUCGUGAAGAUUUUGAUGGAUGGUUCGAGGGAUUAAAGACGCACAUGGAUUUUCAUAAAAGUUUAAAAUGUUUUGUACAAUAUUUCGAUUCAUUUGAAAUAAUGUAAAUUUUUACAAUUUAUGGAAUGAUGUUUUGACC
Molecule: long non-coding RNA, 601 nt
Organism: Helianthus annuus (common sunflower)
Lineage: Eukaryota; Viridiplantae; Streptophyta; Magnoliopsida; Asterales; Asteraceae
Exons: 3
Source: RefSeq, a predicted model, not a curated record